Non-coding RNA from Puma concolor (puma), 840 nucleotides. NCBI's taxonomy places the organism in Eukaryota, Metazoa, Chordata, Mammalia, Carnivora, Felidae. The record is from RefSeq and is a predicted model, not a curated record.
UUUUUCUUCUCUCUGAAGAAACAGUUCUUUCAAAGCAGAUCUUCUGCCGACAAAAUCCCUCAGUUUUUGUUGAUCAGGUGGCAUUUCAGAGGACAUCUUUAGCAGUAUGGACAUUUAUCUGACCUCUCACAAAGGAGAUGUGAUAAUAGACUGUGUCUUGAGUCUCAGAAACACAGACUGGGAGUGAAUUCAGACUCUGAAGACUAAGAGAAGUAUCCUAAAUUAGGGGAAAAGAAGAAAGCCAAGGGUGAAACAAAGAGAGCUAAGUUGGUACACCGUUGAGAAAGAGGCCCUGCAUACUGUUAAUGAAUCCUUCACUAAUCAACACCCUGCUGAGAUCUUCCAUGUGGCAGAGAACCUGGCUGCUGGAAGCUGCCGCUCACAGCCACACUUAUUCACCACCAUAGGAGGGGAAAAUGCUGCUGAACCCUUUGACGCCCACCCCUUGAUCCUCCCGACCCAGCUUCUGUUUGAAAAGCUUCAGAGAUCAGUGUUCACUACCCUUCUAUUGGUGUUCCCACCCCAUAGAACUGUGAUAUACUAUGACAAAUCCUCCUUGGGUUUAAGUCCCUAUGGACCUUAAUGGAAAGUGGCCAGUAUUUCUGAUAGCCUCGGUGAUUGGCACACACAUACUAUAAAUGAAUUUUCACAUAGCACAAAGCCAUGUGCAAGGUGGCCUCUGAAGCCAGGAUGCUGUAGCAGAUCCAUGCGCUUGGAAUCCGAGGGGCAGCAGUUCGCCACCAAAGGAAAUACUGUGACCAGAAGAAGAGAAAAGGGGGAGCUGGCUGGGAAAAUAGUAAGUCUCCCCCACAGUCUGUACUGGGUAGGUAUCUAGUAGGA